ACAGCAGAGUCCCAACACCUUACCACUGCUACACCUGCCGAUCAGCGGAGCCUUGUCUUAGCAGCGGAACUGUUAAAUCAGCCUCAUUUACUGCUUAAAAAAACCCAUUGCUGAUAUGGCUGACUUGUUUAAACAAAUGUGGUUUCUAUUGAGAUGUACAAAAUAUGGCAUAAGGGAACGACAAGCGCAUAAGAGGUAAUCCAUCAUUUUGAUUAUGACAUUAAUGAGCGAGCUAGGACGCUCUGUAUUUUCUGCUGGCUAGCCCCACCACAACAGAAAGCACACGGAGCUGGGCUGAAACACCUGCAAUUUGGAGCUGCAAUACUAAAGAAAACAAAAAAUGUGUUGUCAUUACAGGUGAGACACAUUUAAACUGGUCUUGGUCUCAUUACAGUAUAGACACAUUUAAACUGGUCUUGGUCUCAUUACAGGUGAGACACAUUUAAACUGGUCUUGGUCUCAUUACAGAUGAGACACAUUUAAACUGGUCUUGGUCUCAUUACAGAUGAGACACAUUUAAACUGGUCUUGGUCUCAUUACAGAUGAGACACAUUUAAACUGGUCUUGGUCUCAUUACAGAUGAGACACAUUUAAACUGGUCUUGGUCUCAUUACAGAUGAGACACAUUUAAACUGGUCUUGGUCUCAUUACAGGUGAGACACAUUUAAACUGGUCUUGGUCUCAUUACAGUAUAGACACAUUUAAACUGGUCUUGGUCUCAUUACAGAUGAGACACAUUUAAACUGGUCUUGGUCUCAUUACAGUAUAGACACAUUUAAACUGGUCUUGGUCUCAUUACAGAUGAGACACAUUUAAACUGGUCUUGGUCUCAUUACAGUAUAGACACAUUUAAACUGGUCUUGGUCUCAUUACAGUAUAGACACAUUUAAACUGGUCUUGGUCUCAUUACAGAUGAGACACAUUUAAACUGGUCUUGGUCUCAUUACAGUAUAGACACAUUUAAACUGGUCUUGGUCUCAUUACAGUAUAGACACAUUUAAACUGGUCUUGGUCUCAUUACAGGUGAGACACAUUUAAACUGGUCUUGGUCUCAUUACAGUAUAGACACAUUUAAACUGGUCUUGGUCUCAUUACAGGUGAGACACAUUUAAACUGGUCUUGGUCUCAUUACAGAUGAGACACAUUUAAACUGGUCUUGGUCUCAUUACAGUAUAGACACAUUUAAACUGGUCUUGGUCUCAUUACAGUAUAGACACAUUUAAACUGGUCUUGGUCUCAUUACAGGUGAGACACAUUUAAACUGGUCUUGGUCUCAUUACAGUAUAGACACAUUUAAACUGGUCUUGGUCUCAUUACAGAUGAGACACAUUUAAACUGGUCUUGGUCUCAUUACAGAUGAGACACAUUUAAACUGGUCUUGGUCUCAUUACAGAUGAGACACAUUUAAACUGGUCUUGGUCUCAUUACAGGUGAGACACAUUUAAACUGGUCUUGGUCUCAUUACAGGUGAGACACAUUUAAACUGGUCUUGGUCUCAUUACAGAUGAGACACAUUUAAACUGGUCUUGGUCUCAUUACAGAUGAGACACAUUUAAACUGGUCUUGGUCUCAUUACAGGUGAGACACAUUUAAACUGGUCUUGGUCUCAUUACAGGUGAGACACAUUUAAACUGGUCUUGGUCUCAUUACAGAUGAGACACAUUUAAACUGGUCUUGGUCUCAUUACAGAUGAGACACAUUUAAACUGGUCUUGGUCUCAUUACAGGUGAGACACAUUUAAACUGGUCUUGGUCUCAUUACAGGUGAGACGCAUUUAAACUGGUCUUGGUCUCAUUACAGGUGAGACACAUUUAAACUGGUCUUGGUCUCAUUACAGUAUAGACACAUUUAAACUGGUCUUGGUCUCAUUACAGUAUAGACACAUUUAAACUGGUCUUGGUCUCAUUACAGAUGAGACACAUUUAAACUGGUCUUGGUCUCAUUACAGAUGAGACACAUUUAAACUGGUCUUGGUCUCAUUACAGAUGAGACACAUUUAAACUGGUCUUGGUCUCAUUACAGGUGAGACACAUUUAAACUGGUCUUGGUCUCAUUACAGUAUAGACACAUUUAAACUGGUCUUGGUCUCAUUACAGGUGAGACACAUUUAAACUGGUCUUGGUCUCAUUACAGGUGAGACACAUUUAAACUGGUCUUGGUCUCAUUACAGGUGAGACGCAUUUAAACUGGUCUUGGUCUCAUUACAGAUGAGACACAUUUAAACUGGUCUUGGUCUCAUUACAGAUGAGACACAUUUAAACUGGUCUUGGUCUCAUUACAGUAUAGAUACAUUUAAACUGGUCUUGGUCUCAUUACAGUAUAGACACAUUUAAACUGGUCUUGGUCUCAUUACAGUAUAGAUACAUUUAAACUGGUCUUGGUCUCAUUACAGGUGAGACGCAUUUAAACUGGUCUGGGUCUCAUUACAGAUGAGACACAUGGGUCUAGAGGUCUCUAGUGGUUGAUUGUUGGUCUGGGUCUCACUGGUGCUGUUCCACUCUGUCCUGUCUCCAUCUCUGGUACCAAUACACCAACAUCAUACACUCCAGACCUGGGUUCAAAUACAUUGAGCAUUUGCUUUUGCCUGUUUGGAGUGUCAGGUGGUCAGGGUUUUGCACGAUUAUAAUUUUUCUGUUGCUUCCAUUGUACCAGCCAAGUUUAAUCAAGCCCACAAAGUUUUUGAAAUUAUUUCAAAUCGGGAAAUUGUAAUAGAAGGUUCAGGAUGGCAACUUAAUUCUCUUCAAUUAUAUUAAUUGCUGAAAUGUUUCCCAGCAGCUUCUUGGUCAGAGCACUAUUAUAACAGUGUUAUUACACAUCCACAUUGACACAGACAUGAAUCAUGGUUCCUUUCCAUGUGUAACAGUCUGACACUGUGAUAGAUCACUCUGUUACAUUGACAUGGAAAGGAACCACGAUGUAACAGUUUGACACUGUGUGGUAGGUUACCAUAUUACUUUGACUAACCAUUGUUAUGGAUACUUCUACAUUCUUAUCUUAGUCCUCAGAAUUCAUACAAUAUGGAACACCUGUAAUGGGAAUUGUAAGGUUUGUGCUUUUCUUUUAUUCUGUGUCCCAUUAAUGUGCUGUUCUAUAAACCAGUUUCUGUGUUCAUGCAAGUGGUUGACUGAAUAAAUCCUCCUCUUAUCAGUAACUGCAAUUUGGCAGUAGGCCCAGACCUUGUUUUGAGAACAAACAAAAGAUAUCUGUUUCAAGGUCUCAGCUUACAGAAGAUUAGCCUUGUGAGGUGUUGGUCUGUCACGUUAUGUUAUGAAACAGUAUUGGUCAGUCACGUGAAUUAAACAAAAUGGUAACGAUUAAUUAAGUAUGCUAAAUCAUGCAAAUAUAACUUGUCUGUGUAUAGCCAUAUAUAAGACAAUUGCUGGGUCUGCCCAGGGAGAGCUCCUGAUUGACAUGUGUACUAUGGUGCAAUAAGCUGGUUGGAACCUCUCCAGGGCGCUGACAAUAAACAAUGGUUCAUUUAAGAUUGACUUUGAGUGUCCCUGUGUAAGAAUUUCCACAACACACUAUGUAGAAGACAUAGACAUAUCAUUACAUACAGUAUGGAACACCAUGUGGAAGACACAGACAUACAAUUGAAAUCGGAAGUUUACAUACGCCUCAGACAAAUACAUGUAAAC
Molecule: long non-coding RNA, 3638 nt
Organism: Oncorhynchus keta (chum salmon)
Lineage: Eukaryota; Metazoa; Chordata; Actinopteri; Salmoniformes; Salmonidae
Exons: 7
Source: RefSeq, a predicted model, not a curated record